RNAcentral lists this long non-coding RNA (2010 nucleotides) under Homo sapiens (human). Its description in RNAcentral is "non-protein coding lnc-SLC9A8-3:1". The record is from RNAcentral. Lineage: Eukaryota; Metazoa; Chordata; Mammalia; Primates; Hominidae.
CAGAAAGUGAAACUCUGGAUAAGGGGGUGACUACCUUAUUCACUAUCAUUCCUGGCAAUUAAAGAAUGUUAACUCCAACUGAACACCAGAUGAAUUGGCCCUCAAUUAAACACAUCUGUCCAGAAAUAUAAAAUCACCCAAAACUAAAAAUUUACUAAAGUGAAGCAUGCUCCUUAGAUGCCAUAUGAUGGUACCAUAAACUUAUUAAGAUUUUAAAUCAGCACCUCAUAUGUAUAUUUAUAAAUAGCUCGCUUCUGUUAUCUUUUAAGUGAGAUCCUGUCUCUACAAAAAACUGUUUUAAAAGUUAGCCAGGCAGGGUGGCAUGUACCUGGAGUCCCAGCUACUCAGGAGGCUGAGGGAGGAGGAUCCCUUGUGCCCAGGAGAUCAAGGCAUAGCCAACAUGCUAAUGAACUCUUUUCUCAGUUAAUUCCACUAAUUAGUUAUCUCUUCUUGUUCUGCCAGAAUCCCAACCCUUUUACAAUCUACUCAUCAAAUCCAUCAGGCCACAUAUUAUGCCUUCCUAGAGGAACACUUUUCGUGAUGACACUUUGUAAACAAGGCAAUCUGAUGCUGCCUGUUCUAUCUUCCCAGAUCUAGUUGAUAGUUCAAAACAUCAACAUUAACCACAAGUAAAAUAUGCUUAAAAAAUAAUCAGGAGACGAUCUCCUGCUCUAUCUGGAAAUUUCUCUAUUCAGCUAGUUCUGCGUUGACAGGUCAACAGAGAAUGGCACUAGUUAUUGCUACAAUCCUAAAAGGCAUUUCCCUACAGCUAAACCAUCAACCCUUUCCUAAAAUCCAUAUAAUCCAAAAUUUUUCUAGCAGAAUUUACUCUCCCUGCCCCUACCCCAGCAGCAUCUUCUGAUCAUUUUUCACCAUAAACUGAGGUUUCCUCAUAGUGAUGCCAAGUCAGGCAAACACAUUCCUUAAGCGUUCCACCUAACUCCCUUCUUCCUGGAAGUUACAUGUAAUAGCUGCCUUUAUUUACUUAUUUUUAAAACUCUUCAAGCACCAGGUACAGUGGUAAGUGCUUUUAAAGAACAUGUAUCUACUUCCAUCCUUAACACUGUAUGAGAUUGGGACUCACAUUCCCAUUUUACAGAGGAGAAAUGCAAAGGCUUAGUAACCUGCCCAAGGUCAUACAGGGCAGAGAUUGGAAUCCAAGUCUGACCUCUGUGUCCUCCGCUCUUAACCUUCAUGCUGUCUUUCCUUCUGAUCUCUUCCUGUCCUAACUGGUGCCCUGUGGUCUUAUAAAAGACUAUGCUUGGGGCAGGCGGGGGAGGGGUGGGAGGGUCAGUUUCUCCAGAGACCGCCUUUCCUUUAAAGGAUAAGACUUUGAAAAGAAGGAGUACCCAUUACAUCUUUCCUCCAUGCUCCCCCUUCUCACCUGGUACCAUUUCCCAAAGGCCCCAAUCAUAUCCCCUUCUCUACGGACAAUUUAAACUUCUCCUUUGUCCGCAGAGCAGGCACUAUCCAAUACUGAAGAACCACACCAUCUACCCUCAAGGCUAGGAGAGGGCAGAAGUGGAAGAAAGAACACAGACAGCACCCCUUCCCCAGGUCUUCAGUUGAGAAAGAAGCUGUGGCUGAAAGUCUGGGGGGCUGGGGGCAAAGGUGACAAGGAUGUGCCCUUGUGGGUACGCGAGGUGGGGGGGGGGGAGAUGGGGAAGAGGCAUGGGACGCUCAGGGGAUUAGCAGGAGAUUGAAUGGGGGUGGACCUCUGUAAGGGGAAGGGGGGUGCCACCGGCAGGCAGAGAGAUCAGGCCACUGAAGAGGUGAACGUGAGUUAGGGAGGAGGACCUGGAGGUGGAUGUAAUAGGGGAAGUAGAGGAAGAAAGGGGAGGGAGGGGGCUCACGGGAGCAGGAAACGAUGGAGUCAUGGGGAGUGGGGGAGGAUGGAUGGGAGCUAGAAGGUGGGGCGGCCUGGGACCCGGGCACAUGGGCUCGGCGAAGAGCGGGCGCGCCGCGGGGGACUGGGGUGCGGGGAAUGCCGGGAAUGGGGGUUCGAGGAGA